This is a long non-coding RNA of Rhagoletis zephyria (snowberry fruit fly), 105 nucleotides long. RefSeq lists it as uncharacterized. Lineage: Eukaryota; Metazoa; Arthropoda; Insecta; Diptera; Tephritidae. The record is from RefSeq and is a predicted model, not a curated record.
CGUUUCCUUAAUUUAUAAAUGCGAGAUAUGGCUAGCUUAGAGCGAAAAAUUGCUAAGUCUACUUUUUGUAAAAACUCAUAUUUUGAUGUAGGAAGCAAGAGAAAU